GACGGAGGGUGCAAGCGUUGUUCGGAAUUACUGGGCGUAAAGCGUACGUAGGCGGCGGAUUAAGUCGAAUGUUAAAGCCUGGGGCUCAACCCCAGAGAUGCACUCGAUACUGGUCUGCUAGAGGGUGAUAGAGGAAAGCGGAAUUCCCAGUGUAGCGGUGAAAUGCGUAGAUAUUGGGAGGAACAUCAGUAGCGAAGGCGGCUUUCUGGGUCACACCUGACGCUGAGGUACGAAAGCGUGGGGAGCAAAC
This 250-nucleotide ribosomal RNA is filed under the name uncultured bacterium. RNAcentral's name for it is "partial 16S ribosomal RNA". It matches the Rfam family "Bacterial small subunit ribosomal RNA", at positions 524 to 773 of the family's 1533-position model. The record is from RNAcentral.